Molecule: ribosomal RNA, 331 nt
Filed under: uncultured eukaryote
Lineage: Eukaryota
Description: partial 18S ribosomal RNA
Rfam family: Eukaryotic small subunit ribosomal RNA
Source: RNAcentral
CCCUUAGAUGCUCUGGGCCGCACGCGCGCUACACUGACGAAGUCAGCGAGCAUGUCCUACGCCGACAGGUGCGGGGAAUCUUGUCAAACUUCGUCGUGAUGGGGAUUGAUUAUUGAAAUUCUUGAUCAUCAACGAGGAAUUCCUAGUAAGCGCAAGUCAGCAGCUUGCGUUGAUUACGUCCCUGCCCUUUGUACACACCGCCCGUCGCUACUACCGAUUGAAUGGUUUAGUGAGAUCUUCGGAUUGGCGCCACUGCGGCUCAGCAAUGGGCUCGGUGGAUGCCGAAAAGUUGAUCAAACUUGAUCAUUUAGAGGAAGUAAAAGUCGUAACA